RNAcentral lists this ribosomal RNA (808 nucleotides) under uncultured archaeon. RNAcentral's name for it is "bacterial SSU rRNA". It matches the Rfam family "Archaeal small subunit ribosomal RNA", at positions 85 to 876 of the family's 1478-position model. The record is from RNAcentral.
ACUGCUCAGUAACACGUAGCUAACCUGCCCUCGGGACAAGAACACCCCCGGGAAACUGGGGCUAAUUCUCGAUAGGCGAAGAACUCUGGAAUGAGUCUUUACCCAAAAGACGUUUAGAUCAUGCUUCUAGGCGUCGCCCAAGGAUGGGGCUGCGACCGAUCAGGUAGUUGGUGAGGCAAUGGCUCACCAAGCCUUUAACCGGUGCGGGCCGUGGGAGCGGGAGCCCGGAGAUGGGCACUGAGACAAGGGCCCAGGCCCUACGGGGCGCAGCAGUCGCGAAAACUUUGCAAUAAGCGAAAGCUUGACAGGGCUAUCCCGAGUGCCAUCCGCUGAGGAAGGCUUUUACCCAGUCUAGUAAGCUGGGGGAAUAAGGAGAGGGCAAGUCUGGUGUCAGCCGCCGCGGUAAUACCAGCUCUCCGAGUGGUGUGGAUGUUUAUUGGGCCUAAAGCAUCCGUAGCUGGCUGAGUUAGUCCCCUGUUAAAUCCACCGAAUCAAUCGUUGGAUUGCGGGGGAUACUGCUCGGCUAGGGGACGGGAGAGGCAGACGGUAUUUCCGGGGUAAGGGUGAAAUCUUAUAAUCCCGGGAAGACCACCAGUGGCGAAGGCUGUCUGCUAGAACGCGCCCGACGGUGAGGGAUGAAAGCUGGGGUAGCGAACCGGAUUAGAUACCCGGGUAGUCCCAGCCGUAAACGAUGCAGGCUAGGUGUUUGGGCGGCCACGUGCCGCUCUAGUGCCGCAGGGAAGCUGUUAAGCCUGCCGCCUGGGGAGUACGAUCGCAAGAUUGAAACUUAAAGGAAUUGGCGGGGGAG